UCCGGCUUAUCACCGGCAGUCCCCCUAGAGUGCCCAACUAAAUGAUGGCAACUAAGGGCGAGGGUUGCGCUCGUUGCGGGACUUAACCCAACAUCUCACGACACGAGCUGACGACAGCCAUGCAGCACCUGUGUGUCAGUCACCGACCCCGAAGGACCCCGCAUCUCUGCGAGAUUUCCGGCGAUGUCAAACCCAGGUAAGGUUCUUCGCGUUGCAUCGAAUUAAUCCGCAUGCUCCGCCGCUUGUGCGGGCCCCCGUCAAUUUCUUUGAGUUUUAACCUUGCGGCCGUACUCCCCAGGCGGAUGACUUAACGCGUUAGCUGCGUCACCGACACGCAUGCGUGCCGACAACUAGCUCUCAUCGUUUACAGCGUGGACUAC
RNAcentral lists this unclassified non-coding RNA (380 nucleotides) under uncultured bacterium. RNAcentral describes it as "contains 16S-23S intergenic spacer region". The record is from RNAcentral.